GAAUUCUGAGACUGAACCUUCUCUAGAGGCAGCCCACCAUAGCUGAAGCUUCUCUUAUUCUAGGUUAGCCUUUUUUUUUUCCUCCUUCUUCUUUUGUAAGGAAAGUUGUGGACAAAAAUUGGAACAACAGUAUAUCCCCAUUAAUAUAAUAAUGCUAAACUCAGGAUUUCAGAUUAUUGAAAUCUAUGGAGUGAAAAGAUUUGAAAGUUAGGAUGUGAAAGCAGAAGGGGAUCUUGGGCCUUGUCUUUAUUUUAGAGACGGGAAAAUAGGCUUCAGGGUCACUCUGCUGAGUCACAAAAUUGAAAUGCGAUUAUCAGACCUUUACUUUUCUUUCUUUUAUACUAAGUGGAAACCCAUACUAGUAUAUUACUUGUCAUCAGGAAGAUAAGAAAUGAAGGUUUUUCUGAGUAAUUCUGAAGUUUUUCUGAAGACUUUCAUAAACCCAGCAUAUUUAUCCCAGCAUGUUUAUCUGAGGCAGACCUCAGAUUGGGACUACUUUUUGUUUCUGUUUAGACAUAGAGUUCCAGUAGCACAUCUUGUAGAGCAAAAUUGAACCAUAGCGAUCUUAGAUUUCUUCCUGCUCUCAAUCAUAUUGUGCCUUUGUUGAAUGUUUAUUGUGAUUCAGCACUGUGUUAAAUAUAUUUCUUAUGAAGUCAAACUUUCUUGCAAAUGGCUCUGCCUCUUGUUAUCAAGUUGUUUUGCCUCCUUGCUUCAGUUUCUUCAUCUGUUAACUAUUGACUACAUCAUAGGAUUGUAUUGAGGAUGAAAUGAAUUAUAUGUGGGAGAUAUUCAUUCAGUACAGUGCUUGGCAUCCCCUGAGAAGUUAAUUUUUCUUUCUAUCGUCAUUUUCAUUCUGUUUCUGGGAAAAAGUAAGACUGACAUCCUCCCUGAAAUCCACAUGGAUUUAUCUGUGCCUGUAUCUCUAGUCUCUCUGUUCUGUUUAAAUGAUGUCAUAGCUAAGUAAUUCCAAAACAUCAAAAAGCUAACUUUGCUCACAUGUGAGUGACAGCCAGCUCCACCUAGUGGUGACGAUCCUAUCUUCUAAUGUAUCCCUCCUGAGUAAAGUUCCCCAGUUCCUUGUUUGCCAUGGUUUCCCAACUCUAGAACUUUUCAUAUGCUGUUUCUUUUACUUGAAAUGCCUCUUAACUCUACCCAGUCUCUCCACUCUUCUUCUCCACCUCCUACACAUUAAGUGCUGUCUUUAUUCCCGUAGCAUUUCUUUUCUUUUUUGGUGUUAUUGGGGAUUGAAUCCAGGGGCACUUUACGUCCCAGCCCUUUUUAUUAUGAGAUUGGGGCUCUCAUUAAGUUGCCUAGGCUGGCCUUGACUUGUGAUCCUCCUGCCUUCUUCUCCAGAGCUGUUAGGAUUACAGGCAUGCACCAUUAUAUCUGGUUCUUUACGUUCGUUUCUUUAUCAGAGUACACACCAUAUUAUGCUACCAGUUUGUGUCAUCCACACUAGGCUGAGCUCCAUGAGUCCAUGGGAUCAGAAUCUACUUUUGUCUUUUUAUUACAGCUAACCCAAUUCCUGGCUCACAAUAGGCAUCUAAAAAAUGAAUAACUUAAUAAUGUAAAACAUUCUUGAGUAAAUUGUUAUAACCAAAUCAAAUCUCAAAUUAGGUUAUAGUGGGUUCAAAUUUUUAUGAGAUUUGAUUUGGUUGUAACAAUAUGUGUGAAGACUGUAUCAGUCUAGUAUAUUCAUAACAGUAAGUCUGUCAGCAGCUAAAAUGAUUGUCAGAAGCUACAAACAUGCCUGAAACUGCAGGACUGCUGAGCGAUUUGCAACCGUCUUUAUACCAGUUUUCAGUUAGAGUAGAAAACUGAAAUUACACGUGCUAAAACACUACUUUUGUAAAACUACAGGGGCUACAGUCUUGAGUUAAAUGGAUCAAUGUAGGUACAGUCACCAGUUUCCCUCUCUGUACUGUGGAGUUGAGGACAGUAAAACAGACUAAGAGGGCAUUGGGAAGAGGAAGAGUAAGGCAAUGAUCAGAAUUCUGACAAAAUGAUAUGUCUGCACUGUCUACCUACAAGUCUCUAUGCUACUAUCACCACUCUGUGACCUUGGGCAAGUUAAGUAAUUUCUCUGACUCAUUUUUUCACCUGUAAACUAGAGGUCUCUCUUACCUACAUCUGAAGUACCUAUCUAUCUCAUGGGAUUAUAAUUUUUUUUUUAAUAUUUAUUUUUUAGUUUUAGGUGGACACAGUAUCUUUAUUUUACAUUAAUGUGGUUCUGAGGAUGGAGCCCAGUGCCUCAUGCAUGUUAGGCGAGCACUCCACCACUGAGCCACAACCCCAGCCCCUGGGACUGUAAUCUUUAAGAUUAAAUGAGAUCAUUAUUAUAAGUGCCCAGUAAAUGUUAGCUAUUAUAGUUUUUUCUGUUUAAAAAUGGUGAGAGGAUCAAUUGUGAGAAGGUCUCUGACAUUAGAGAUCAUACCUGCCUUGGUCACUACUGCAGCUCCAGCACUUGGCCUGCAUAUGGAUGCUAUUUAGCAAAUGUUUGUUAAAUUACUACAUAAAGACAAUUAUGGUAGAGUUUUUAGAGAUCUGUGAGUAUUGUCUUCUUUCCUAGCCUAUCUCUGGCUCAUGAAGCACUUCACUUCUGCACAGUACUUGGAUUCUUGAGUUUUCUUAUUCUUGUGUUAACUUUGG
Molecule: long non-coding RNA, 2649 nt
Filed under: Marmota monax (woodchuck)
Lineage: Eukaryota; Metazoa; Chordata; Mammalia; Rodentia; Sciuridae
Source: RNAcentral